Molecule: ribosomal RNA, 426 nt
Filed under: uncultured Acinetobacter sp.
Lineage: Bacteria; Pseudomonadati; Pseudomonadota; Gammaproteobacteria; Moraxellales; Moraxellaceae
Description: bacterial SSU rRNA
Rfam family: Bacterial small subunit ribosomal RNA
Source: RNAcentral
GUGGGGAAUAUUGGACAAUGGGGGGAACCCUGAUCCAGCCAUGCCGCGUGUGUGAAGAAGGCCUUAUGGUUGUAAAGCACUUUAAGCGAGGAGGAGGCUACUUUAGUUAAUACCUAGAGAUAGUGGACGUUACUCGCAGAAUAAGCACCGGCUAACUCUGUGCCAGCAGCCGCGGUAAUACAGAGGGUGCGAGCGUUAAUCGGAUUUACUGGGCGUAAAGCGUGCGUAGGCGGCUUAUUAAGUCGGAUGUGAAAUCCCCGAGCUUAACUUGGGAAUUGCAUUCGAUACUGGUGAGCUAGAGUAUGGGAGAGGAUGGUAGAAUUCCAGGUGUAGCGGUGAAAUGCGUAGAGAUCUGGAGGAAUACCGAUGGCGAAGGCAGCCAUCUGGCCUAAUACUGACGCUGAGGUACGAAAGCAUGGGGAGCAA